CUUGACUUGUUGAUGCAGUGGGAGACGAAGAUAUCAGGUUGUUCUCUUCUCACCGAUGGGAUGCAUGGCCCGGCCCUCGGAAGGCUCUUGUCGUCGACCUGCUCCCACUCCUCCGUCUCCACGUCGAUCAAGAAAUGUCGAUGUCGCGUCGCAUAAUAAUGGAGGAAACUAAUGAUGUAUCAUCCAAGAUUUGCCUUUGUGGCUAUAUAAACACCUAUCAAACCAAGGGGAUAGCUAGGUAAACAACAAUAAUACAGCUGCGCCCUUCCCUUCUGAAAAGAUCUCCCUAUCAUGGCACUUCUUGGCAAGGAUAAUAGUAAGGCUGUGGUGUUCUUGGCAGCUCUUAUGGUGAUGGCUAUUGCUUUCUCAUCCUCUCAUGCAGCCCAAGGUACACACAUAUAUAUACAUCUUCAAUUUCUCCAUCACCAUGCUGAAUAUAACAGCUUAAUUAAUUUUCUUCGUUUUGCAAUGGCCAAUGGAUGAAUCAAAAUCAAGCAUCUGAUCAUGGGUCUAACCAUUCUGUACACAGGUAUAUAAUUUUACAUAUUUCACAAAAGUUUUUGAAUAAGACAAACGGUCAAACAUGUGCUAAAAAGUCAACGGUGUCAAAUAUUUCGAAACGGAGGGAGUAAAGGAUACAUGCACAUACCUACGAGGCUGCACCACGAGUCUCUGUCAAGCCAAUCAUAAUGAAGGAGGCAAUUGCGACAGCGAUUCUGAUCAAUGCUGCUGUGGAACUCGCCUUGGCCAUGGAGUUGGCACUGGCCAUGUACACAAAUAAACUCUUAUUUGAUCGAUCUCUAGCCUGUUCAAGUACGAUAAAACCUGAUAGGGACUGUGUCUUCUCUUUUUAGUUCCAUAGAAAUGAAAAAAAUAAAUAAAUAAAAACAAUCAAAUUUGGACGGCGAGGAUGCCUUCAAGAUUCCUGCAACCCGCUUAUCCUUUUAUUCUUCCCCCAACUCCUUAUCCCCACAGUAACUAGUUGUUUUCUUCGCGCGAUCAAGUCCCCCGCCUUAGUGCACCACCGUCUGACCUCGCUGGCUGGCCGAGAGAUGACUAGGCCCUCCUCCCACUCUCCACCCCUUCUCUCUUCCUCCAUAAGUCGGUAGCGACUUCAUUAUUGACUUUUAAUAGAAAAUAUAUAAGAAAAGAUAGCAAAGUACGUAAUAAUAUUUCAAAUCUAUAUAUUUUAAAAGAUGUCUUUUAUUACCAUUUUCAUGAAGCGAACUAUUCAAAUAUGUAUUAACGAUCAAAGUGUAAACCUAUGGAUUACAUGUUUUAUAAAAUUUAACUCACUCAUAGCUAGAGAAAGUAAUUAAGAGUGAACAAUAAAUCAGGAGAACGAACCAGGACUUUAUAUUAUUUGUUGAUAAGCUCGAUUAGCAAGUAUUAGUCACGGAAGCACUGACAGCUCUGAUAAAUAUGUCAAAUGUUUCCCCGCAAAAAAAAAAUGUCAAAUGUUCACACCUACAAUCUAACCGUGGGCCGAAUUAUUUGGACCAAUUUGAGCCCAGCCGGUAAGGUGUACGUGUCGGCCCAAAACAUCAAAUCUUAUAAAAUAAACAGCUAAUAAAUUGCUCAGCAUAAAUGCAAGGGAUAUGAGUAAGAUAAUGUUUGCAUUAAUAUAUGUCAUUUAUGGUGGGUUAUUGUACCCCUAUAUGAACACCGGCAACAGUGAAGGUCGUAGAAGUAGCUUAUCAAAUCAUCGGGAGAACAAAACACUGUAGCCUGAUCUUGUGAUGGCAAUCAUUUCCAAGAAAAAUAACACAAUGGCCCUCGGCUGCUUGGUGGCUUUUGUGAUCUUGGCUGUCGCUCUCUCAUCCUGCAAAGCGGACGAGAGUACAGAUGUGUGUUUCUAUACGGGUCUCCGGGCAUGCCAAGUGAGAAUGUGUGGAGCCUACUGCCUCAAAUACUAUGGUAAUUUGGUAGACUGGAAAGGCGCCUACUGCAAUGAGCAAGUGAAAUGCUGCUGCAAAGCAAGAUCGAUUAGUCGUUGAAUAAAUCAAUUAAUGUCCACCUAAUCGAUCAAUCUUGUUGAGACGGAUUGAUAAAUACAAAAACUGUAUCAAUUACAAAUAACAUGACGUAGGGCCUGCAAGCCUAAUCGUGUGGCAGGCAGAGGUCGGCAAUGUAAUAUAUUUUUAUUAUUAGAAAGCAGUAUACAGUUAUAAAUGAAGAAA
Molecule: non-coding RNA, 2180 nt
Organism: Oryza sativa Japonica Group (Japanese rice)
Lineage: Eukaryota; Viridiplantae; Streptophyta; Magnoliopsida; Poales; Poaceae
Source: RefSeq, a predicted model, not a curated record